RNAcentral lists this ribosomal RNA (490 nucleotides) under uncultured bacterium. RNAcentral's name for it is "partial 16S ribosomal RNA". It matches the Rfam family "Bacterial small subunit ribosomal RNA", at positions 29 to 507 of the family's 1533-position model. The record is from RNAcentral.
AGUGAACGCUGGCGGCAGGCCUAACACAUGCAAGUCGAACGGCAACAGGGAACAGGUUUCUGAUUCGCUGAGGAGUGGGGGACGGGUGAGUAAUGUAUGGGGAACUGUCUGAUUGAGGGGGGUAACUACUGGAAACGGUAGCGAAUACCGCAUAACGGCGCAACACGAAAAAGGGGGAGCUUUGCGGCUCUUGCCAGCGUGAGUGCGCAGAUGGGAUUAGCUAGUGGGUGGGGUAAAGGCCCACCUAGGCGACGAUCCCUAGCUGGUCUGAGAGGAUGACCAGCCACACUGGAACUGAGACACGGUCCAGACUCCUACGGGAGGCAGCAGUGGGGAAUAUUGGACAAUGGGCGCAAGCCUGAUGCAGCCAUGCCGCGUGUAUGAAGAAGGCCUUCGGGUUGUAAAGCCCUUUCGGCGGGGAGGAAGGGCGUCAAGUUAAUACCUCUCCUCAUUGACGUUACCCGAAGAAUAAGCACCGGCUAACUUCGUG